Molecule: ribosomal RNA, 474 nt
Filed under: uncultured Pelotomaculum sp.
Lineage: Bacteria; Bacillati; Bacillota; Clostridia; Eubacteriales; Desulfotomaculaceae
Description: bacterial SSU rRNA
Rfam family: Bacterial small subunit ribosomal RNA
Source: RNAcentral
UUGACGGGGCCCGCACAAGCGGUGGAGCAUGUGGUUUAAUUCGACGCAACGCGAAGAACCUUACCAGGGCUUGACAUCCCCUGACCGCGUAUGAAAGUACGUUUUCACCCUCGGGUGACAGGGAGACAGGUGGUGCAUGGUUGUCGUCAGCUCGUGUCGUGAGAUGUUGGGUUAAGUCCCGCAACGAGCGCAACCCCUACGUUUAGUUGCUAACGCGUGAAGGCGAGCACUCUAGACGAACUGCCGUUGACAAAACGGAGGAAGGUGGGGAUGACGUCAAAUCAUCAUGCCCCUUAUGUUCUGGGCUACACACGUGCUACAAUGGCCGGUACAGACGGACGCAAAGCCGCGAGGUGGAGCAAAUCCUAAAAAGCCGGUCUCAGUUCGGAUUGCAGGCUGCAAUUCGCCUGCAUGAAGUCGGAAUCGCUAGUAAUCGCGGAUCAGCACGCCGCGGUGAAUACGUUCCCGGGCCUU